RNAcentral lists this ribosomal RNA (492 nucleotides) under uncultured bacterium. RNAcentral's name for it is "partial 16S ribosomal RNA". It matches the Rfam family "Bacterial small subunit ribosomal RNA", at positions 29 to 507 of the family's 1533-position model. The record is from RNAcentral.
AGUGAACGCUGGCGGUAGGCCUAACACAUGCAAGUCGAACGGCAGCACAGUAAGAGCUUGCUCUUACGGGUGGCGAGUGGCGGACGGGUGAGGAAUACAUCGGAAUCUACUUUUUCGUGGGGGAUAACGUAGGGAAACUUACGCUAAUACCGCAUACGACCUACGGGUGGAAGCAGGGGAUCUUCGGACCUUGCGCGAUUGAAUGAGCCGAUGUCGGAUUAGCUAGUUGGCGGGGUAAAGGCCCACCAAGGCGACGAUCCGUAGCUGGUCUGAGAGGAUGAACAGCCACACUGGAACUGAGACACGGUCCAGACUCCUACGGGAGGCAGCAGUGGGGAAUAUUGGACAAUGGGCGCAAGCCUGAUCCAGCCAUACCGCGUGGGUGAAGAAGGCCUUCGGGUUGUAAAGCCCUUUUGUUGGGAAAGAAAAGCAGCAGGUUAAUACCCCGCUGUUCUGACGGUACCCAAAGAAUAAGCACCGGCUAACUUCGUG